AGUCACGACGCAUAUCAAUAAGCGGAGGAAAAGAAACCAACAGGGAUUGCCUCAGUAACGGCGAGUGAAGCGGCAAGAGCUCAAAUUUGAAAGCUGGCCCCUUCGGGGUCCGCGUUGUAAUUUGCAGAGGAUGCUUCGGGUGCAGCCCCCGUCUAAGUGCCCUGGAACGGGCCGUCAUAGAGGGUGAGAAUCCCGUCUGGGACGGGGUGUCUGCGUCCGUGUGAAGCUCCUUCGACGAGUCGAGUUGUUUGGGAAUGCAGCUCUAAAUGGGUGGUAAAUUUCAUCUAAAGCUAAAUACUGGCCGGAGACCGAUAGCGCACAAGUAGAGUGAUCGAAAGAUGAAAAGCACUUUGAAAAGAGAGUUAAACAGCACGUGAAAUUGUUGAAAGGGAAGCGUUUGCGACCAGACUCGCCCGCGGGGUUCAGCCGGCAUUCGUGCCGGUGUACUUCCCCGUGGGCGGGCCAGCGUCGGUUUGGGCGGCCGGUCAAAGGCCCUCGGAAUGUAUCACCUCUCGGGGUGUCUUAUAGCCGAGGGUGCAAUGCGGCCUGCCUGGACCGAGGAACGCGCUUCGGCUCGGACGCUGGCGUAAUGGUCG
RNAcentral lists this ribosomal RNA (596 nucleotides) under Aspergillus fumigatus. Its description in RNAcentral is "eukaryotic LSU rRNA". It matches the Rfam family "Eukaryotic large subunit ribosomal RNA", at positions 32 to 640 of the family's 3401-position model. Lineage: Eukaryota; Fungi; Ascomycota; Eurotiomycetes; Eurotiales; Aspergillaceae. The record is from RNAcentral.